RNAcentral lists this ribosomal RNA (253 nucleotides) under uncultured bacterium. RNAcentral's name for it is "partial 16S ribosomal RNA". It matches the Rfam family "Bacterial small subunit ribosomal RNA", at positions 524 to 776 of the family's 1533-position model. The record is from RNAcentral.
UACGUAGGUGGCAAGCGUUGUCCGGAUUUACUGGGCGUAAAGAGCGCGCAGGCGGUCGUUCAAGUCGCGUGUGAAAGCCCCCGGCUCAACUGGGGAGGGUCACGCGAUACUGAUCGACUCGAAGGCAGGAGAGGGAAGUGGAAUUCCCGGUGUAGUGGUGAAAUGCGUAGAUAUCGGGAGGAACACCAGUGGCGAAGGCGGCUCUCUGGUCCAAAACUGACGCUGAGGGGCGAAAGCGUGGGGAGCGAACGGG